GACGAACGCUGGCGGCGUGCCUAACACAUGCAAGUCGAACGCAAAGGCCCUGCUUUUGUGGGUCUCUCGAGUGGCGAACGGGUGUGUAACACGUGAGUAACCUGCCCUUGACUGUGGGAUAACUUCAGGUAACUGGGUCUAAUACCGGAUAGGAGCUUCGGCGGCAUGUGUGGUGUUUGAAAGUUUCGGCGGUUGUGGAUGGACUCGCGGCUUUGCAGCGUGUUGGUGGGGUAGUGGCUUACCAAGGCUUUGACGGGUAGCCGGCCUGCGAGGGUGACAGGCCACAUUGGGACUGAGAUACGGGCAGGACUGCAACGGGAGGCAGCAGUGGGAAAUAUUGCACAAUGCGCGGCAGCCUGAAGCAGGAGCGCCGCGUGCGGGAUGACGGCCUUCGGGUUGUAAACCGCUUUCGCCUGUGAAGAAGAGUGAGUGACGGUAAUGGGUAAGGAAGCAACGGCUAACUACGUG
This 468-nucleotide ribosomal RNA is filed under the name uncultured bacterium. RNAcentral describes it as "partial 16S ribosomal RNA". It matches the Rfam family "Bacterial small subunit ribosomal RNA", at positions 28 to 507 of the family's 1533-position model. The record is from RNAcentral.